Monodelphis domestica (gray short-tailed opossum) is the source of this 3661-nucleotide non-coding RNA. The record is from RefSeq and is a predicted model, not a curated record. Lineage: Eukaryota; Metazoa; Chordata; Mammalia; Didelphimorphia; Didelphidae.
CUUUAAAAAGAAAGAGGCAAUUACCUUAUAUCUUACUCUUCCCAGAAUGAUUUAUUUCCCUCAUGGUACUAAUAACGUGCUUUCUGAAUAUUACUUUUCUUGCAUGAGCAGAGCACUAAGUGAUCAUCAAAGACCACUGCAAAGCUAAAUUGAAGAAAAGUUUUCAUGUAUUGGUCUUUCAUUUUUCAGUUGAUUUCUUCAUGAAACCUGAUGUCAUUCCUCAGCCUCUCUCCAGAAAUUCAUUCCACAUCACUGGAAACUCAUCAGCAUUUUGCAUUAGCUGGAACCUGCCUGGGAAUGUUAACCACGGAAAUAUAUAUUACCUGCUUAAAUCGCUUGCCCUUUCUAUUGUAGAGGACCUUGAUACACCUAAGUAUUGUUUGAGGGACCUUCCACCGUUCACAGAAUUUGAUCUCAGUGUAAAACCUUAUACGUAUUGGAGAUCUGCUGCUGAAACCUUAUUAAUCCUUCAUUCUCCAGAAUCUGAGCCAUCUACCCCUGAAAACCCAAGGAUUUUUGUGACUAUAUCGUCUAACGUUUCUCUCAAUUUAACAAAUUCAGAAGUGGAAGUGAGAUGGGAUCCCCCCAGUUCACCAAAUGGAAUUCUUCAGGGCUACAUGGUGUCCUAUACUCUUAUUGAUUAUAUUGGAGUUAAUAGGAAGACUCAAGAGUAGCAUGCCAUAUUACCAGCCAAUGUGACAAGGUUCAAAUUGGUGAAAGGUGUACCUGAACCAUCUUUUACAUUUCAGAUUGCAGGUUUUACAAAUGCUGGUCUGGGACCCACUGCAGAGGUGAAGAUGAAAAGUAUAAAAGAUGCCGACCCUAUACCUUAUGUGUGGAUUGUAGACGACAGACAAAUUAUGCUUUUUGAUAUGGAUGCCAAGGAAAUUGCUCAGAAGAUAUCUCUGUCAUCAGUUAUUGAUAUGACUUACAUCAAACAAAAUGGCACGCCCUACUUUUUGUCCCAUAAUUUGCUUUUGAGUAUUAGUGUGGAUUUUGCUAAGGAAAUGCAGCUUAUAGAUAGGAAUCUCCCCGGAAUACCAAAAGCAAUUGCUUCUGACUGGAUUGGGCAAAAACUCUACAUAAUCAUAAAUGGAGAAGACCAGAAGCGCAGUGAUGUUUACUGGCUUGAUCUAGAAGACAAAAGAAGGAGGCUGAGAAAAAUGGUGUCUGUGAGUGAAGACAUUCUCUCUAUAGGAUUGGAUCCACAUAAAAGGUAAUCUUCCAGCCUCAAGUAGAGAGCGCCAAUACCAUUGCGUCCUCAGGUUGGCAGCAGCCAGAAAGGCUUGGGGAUGGGCGAUGGGGAGGAAGAAGUAUGUGACUGCCAGGCAUUGAGGGAUAGAGUGCUCUUCCUUCAAUGAUGUUGGAUACAUUGACGAGGCAUUGCCACACGUAGCAUGGCAACUGAUGGCACAUUUCCACUAUCACAAUUUCUGUAUUAACUUAAGAAACCCUAUAAAAACCAAACAAAAUUGCUUAUUGCCAAUAGUUUUAAAGUGAAAACUCAUAUUCAGCUCUACUGUAUUCUACAUGUCGAAAUUUGUGUUAUUUUCAGAAACUAUCAAGCAUUGAGUAAAUUCAUCCCUAUGUUCAACCCAGAAUUGGAUUAUUUAAGCAACUUUUGUAAAUUUAAAAACAAAAUAUAACAGUAGAGUAGUGAUCAGAUUUCUGGUGGUGAUUCCAAGUAAUAUUUUGAAUUUUUCUAAUAAGUUCUAUUAUUUGAAGAAGUUUAGAAUACCUCCUAUUUUAUUAGAUUUGAUAAGUCUUUGAAGAGUUAGGCAUUAUGGAGUAGGUUCUUUACUUUUAUUAAUAAGUUACUUUCCUUUAAUUUUAAGACUCACUUUUUAAUGAAACAUACCCAGAUUGGGGUGUUUGUAAUAUAAGACAACAUGAUGUCCCUUCAGGCCCCCUCCUCUAUUUUGUUAGUGAUUUAUAUUAAAUUAAAAGAAAUGUCAUUAGAGUUGUAUUGAGUGUCUUCCUCCUAGCACCAACCAGGAAAAUUCCUAAUAUCUAGGCAAAUAUUUGUUCUCUAUUUUAACUUGCGUGUGUGUGUGUGUGUGUGUUGUAUAAAAUCCCAACUCUUUUAGUAGUUGAAGUCCAAAAACUUGGGUUUCCAUAUAUACACCUGACAAAGUGGAUAUGUGCCUGUGUACUGUUAUUAUUAUUUACCAUAAUAAAGUAAUAAAGGCACAAAAGUGGUCUAGUGGUUAUUCUGGUUUGAAUUUUAUUCUCCCAACAUUCUAUAGGAUGCUUUUUCUUUUCUUUUUUUUUGGGGGGGGGCACGAUAUUAACAUUCUUUCGUUUCUCUUUUUGUUGCCAUGCACACUUCCAUAUUGAUCAUUAUCGUAAGAGCACACUCAUGCAUAACCAAAGCACCACAAUGAAACCCUAAAUACACUGAUGGGAAAGAGGACGCCAACAGUUCUUUCUCUGGAGGUGGAUGGCCUUCCCCAAGACAAGUCUUUCCGGAUUGCCCCAAGGCAUUGCAUUGCUGAGAGUAGCCACGUUUUCAUAGAUAAUCAUUGUAUAAUAUUGAUGGAUAUUCGCAUUUUUCCUACUAGUUGUGACCUCUGAGGAUUUCAAGAAGGGUCCUUAAGGUUUUGGUGAUUUGUCCAUAAUUGGCUUUCUAUUUGUAAUCACCUGAUGUUUGGUCGAGCAUUUCUUCCUUGACUGCGCGCUCUAACUGAAAUGCGGGGUGAGAAGCAUCCUCUCUAGUACUGUUUCUAUCCACAUGCCUUUAAAGGAUCAAUUAGUGCCGAUAACGACCACCCUUAUUCACUCUAGCUCGGUUAGACUUGCAGAGCUCUUCUUGCACUCUGAACCCCAAAUUGCCAGCCAGGUCCUCCACAUUUUUUAUGGUCCUCCAUCGGAGUCAGAGGCUUGAAUGCACAAGUCAUAUCUACUAGAGUCCAUCUUGUGGGUGUGUGUUCAUCCUUGCCACGGUAAUUGAGGACGUGGUCACAAGUAGGAUCUGUUGGGUGACCAUCUCCACCUGUUGCCCUAAUUCAAAUUGUCAACAGUUCAUUAUUGAAAUGGCAUUCCAAUACUUCCCCUAUAAGGAAAGUUCCGUGAAAGCAGCAUCUGAAACAUAAGCUGUGUUUCCUAGGCCACAGCAGACCAGAUGGUAUUAUGUUAAUGACAUUUAAAAAUGUUUUAAUUUUUUUGUUAUUCUGAACUUAAUACCCUCAAGCACGAACAUUUCCACACACAAAGCAAAGCAGAAAAAAGAGGAUUGCCUAUGGAACUGCGAAUCUCUAUCACACAGAGACAGUUUCCCUUUAAAAGCAUAUUAUAAGUUCAACAAACGCAAAAAUAAGGUCAGCACAUUACUUUCAUAUCUGCCUGGUGUCUUCCACUGAAUCUCUCUUCCUGUCCUUUUCUGUGGGUGCCUCCACAUGCGUCGUUGAUGCUCUUUUCUGUCUUUGCUUUUUUUCAUUGCCAUCACUAUCAUGAGCCGUUAAAGCCUUUGAUUCGUAAACAUUAUCAAAGGAUAACAGAUUUACAAAAACCCAACAACCUUUGCCAUUAGGCAAUAACAGUCGGCAUCCUCUCCUUUACCUUAAAUACUCCCUACUAACGUUACCUUCAUGCACGACACAGAUUGCAAAGUGCAUGUCUCCGAUGAGUGACAGAAAUGCACUUUACCGACUCCUCGGGGUGC